RNAcentral lists this ribosomal RNA (22 nucleotides) under Beauveria bassiana. RNAcentral's name for it is "partial 28S ribosomal RNA". Lineage: Eukaryota; Fungi; Ascomycota; Sordariomycetes; Hypocreales; Cordycipitaceae. The record is from RNAcentral.
CCUCGAAUCAGGUAGGACUACC